GGACCUUGGUGGGAGAGGCAAAGAAGAGGACUUUGGUCAAGCAAAAGCUUUCCACUCCUCCUGGAAGUGUGCUGGGAGAGAAAAAGAAAGUGACAGGAGUUGAGCAAAAGCCUUCCACUUCUCCAGGGAGUAUGUUGGAAGAGGCGAAGAAGAGGACCGUGGUCAUGGAAAAGACUUCCACUACUUCAGGGAGUAACCAGAGUGAUGCAAAGAAGGGGAUUUUGGUCAAGAAAAAGCUUUCCACUCCUCCUGUGAAUAUGCUGAAAGAGGGAAAAAAGGUAAAUGAGGUCUAUCAAAAGCCUUCAGCACCUCAGGAGAGUGUACUCAAAGAUAAAAAGGAGGUCACUAUGGUUGAGAAAAAAACUUUUUCUCCUCCAGGUUGCAUGGAGGGAGGGAUAGAUGAGGUGACUAUGGUUGAGCAGAAGUCUUCAGCUUCUCUGGUGAGUAUGCUAGGAGAGGGAGAAAAUGUGACUAUGGUUGAGUAAAAGCUUUCUACUCCCCCAGGGAGUAUGCUGGUAGAGGGAAAGAAAGAGGUCGUGGUCAAUCAAAAGUCAUCUGCUCCUCCAGGGAGUAUGCUAGGACAGGGAAAGAAGUUGAAUGUGGUCGAUCGAAGGCCUUCUCCUAAGGUUCACUCUCUUGAACCCUCUGAAAUAAAAAAGAAAAAGAUACUGCUGACACCAAAGAGUGUUCACUCUCUGAAAUUGGAUUCCUCCAGUGACAAGAUGCCAAAGACAGAAAAGAAAAUCAAAUCUUCAUCUAAGAUCUUAGGAGGUGUAUAUGCAGGAGGCAAGAAAAACAGUGUUGGUAAUUAUAGAAAACAAAUAAUUGCGCCUAAAGUAUCUACAGAAAAAUCUUUGAAGAUGCCAACUCUUUUAUCUCCUCCAAAAUCUUCCUCUGUUAAACCUUUGAUCUUGAGGGUGAGAAGCAAUAAAAUCUUAAAACUGCUAGCUCCUCUAAAGGACUAGAACAAGAUGCGGAGAGAUGGGAUAAACAAACUGAACCCUGAAAUAGUUCCUGAGAAAACUUUACGUACUCCCAAAGUGAAAGCAUCACCAAAGUCUCCAUCCCAUUUACAAUCACAUCCGUUGUCUAAUGAAGAAGAUAAAAAGGAAGUUGUUAAGCCUGCAGACAGUGCAUUAGGUAAAUACACCUCUGGCAGCAAAAAGCUGUUGCACAUAGCAGAAGCAAAAACUGUUGGGAAAAAUCAGAAAAAGACAUUGAGAAAAGGUAAGAUAGGAUUUUCUAAUGAUAAUAAUUCUUCGGCAGGGAAACUGAAGUUUAGGAGGGGAAAGAUAGUUGAUCUCCAGUAAGAAACCAGCAGCCCUAGGAGGCUGACAUUUAGAUGGGGACGACAUGUGGGUGAAAGCCAGGAUAGCAAUACAAGAAAGAGAAUCUUUAAAAAUAAAGGAGUUGAUGGUGACAAAAGUAAUACCAUCACUAUCUCUGGAAAAAUUGUUUUGAGGCGUCAGGAUGUGCAAGAAAAGAAAGAUGUGCAGGGUUUGUUGAAUAAUGUGAUUGAAGAGAUGACGAGUAAGCUUGUUGAAACCGGGAAGAGCAAGGUUAAAGCUUUGGUGGGAGCUUUUGAGACAGUGAUUUCCCUCCACAAUAAACCUUCUGCUGUCAUAGUUUCUUGAUUAACUAAUAGAAUUUUAUAACAAAUAGGAGCAAUUGCAAAUAUAGUGGUUGAUAUAGAUUUUCGGACCUGGUUUACAUAUGUUUGUCCUGUUUCUCAUUCUGACUCAUCUUCGUAACGAUUUCUUGAUGCUUUCCGGUUCUGUUCUUAUGAUUGAAUAAAUUUAAUUUCUUCUGGAUGCAUUUACUUUGAAUUGGGAGAUAAAGUUACGCAAGACUACAAUUUCUUUUUCACUUAUGGAGGUUGUGAUAGUGACGUUAAAUCAGUGGGUGUUUGGAUGUAGACAUUCUAAUGUUAGGCUGGUUGAUCAGUGGACAUAUAUUGUUGCUGGACUUAUUUACGAGGGAUUUGUUCAUACUUUCUGUUGAAUAAGCGCAUUGAAGAAGGCACAUCAUGUGGAAAUACCAUCCAAAAAAGAGUUUUGGCUAUGGUACUGGUUUGACAUUGUGCUUGUAUACUAUUUUCUUUAGUUGUUCUGUAAAGGGAUCUGUCUCUUGACUGUAAAACUUAUUGCUUUUUUCUCUGUCAUACAAUACAAUAAGAUAUAAGUAACAAUCAAAUGUAAAUAUUGUAACCACCUAAACAAGUAACAAUAUUUAUGUGCAUCUUUUAUUCAGGUAACUCAAAACAGCUUAUAAUAAGUCCCUUUGUUGGAAUAUUGUACGUUUUAGCUUAAAGAAGCCACUGCAGCUUGUUAGACUUAGAUACAUGUACCUUCAUGGCUCCACCUAUCAACCAUAACAUCCAGCUAAAGUUGAGUCACUCCAUGUACUUGUGUUAAAAGUUAUUUUUUGAGUCUCCUUACUCCAAUUUGUCAUUGAAAGCUCACACAUUUUAUCAUGCAACAAAUUUCUGCUCAACUAAAUCUGAGACUCUUAUCGAAGAUGGCUAGAAGUACUAAUGAAAAUGCUCAUAAAAGUUUUAGUUCACAUAAACUUAGAAAUAGUGUCAUUGGCCAUACAAGUAUUCGAGGUAAGUUCUCAUAUCACAAUAUAAUAAAAUAUCUAGUUGGAAGAAGAUGGUUAGAAGUUCUACAUUCGAGAGUAUGAUUUAAUCAAAAGUGUUAAGGGUUACAUUUGUUUAACUUUUAAGGUGGGGGGACAAAUAAGUUAUGAGAUCAAAUUUCCUUAACUCUGUUGUACUAUGAAAAGUUCAUCAAAAAAUGGAGUAGAAACGAAGCCAACAAUCAGAUCAUGCAAAAGUUCAUAGAAGUAAGGGUCAAGCAAAGUGCUAUACACAAGCCACACGAAAUCCUCAACUAAUAAACGAAACUUCAACAAACGGAGGCAGCAUGCAGAAAGUUUCACUAACAACAUUAUAACAUCAGAAAACUAAUUAAAACAUUAAAAUCCUACAAAUCACUCUUGAAUCACUUCAGUUAAAAUUCUACUAAGACUGAUUUGCUGAGAAGCAAAAGAGCAAUUUUCCUUCAGUUGUCAAUGUAGCAGUGACGCAACUUCAGAAUCUUCAUGGAGAAAUUGACAUGGCUUCUAAUUCUGCUCGAGCGNNNNNNNNNNNNNNNNNNNNNNNNNNNNNNNNNNNNNNNNNNNNNNNNNNNNNNNNNNNNNNNNNNNNNNNNNNNNNNNNNNNNNNNNNNNNNNNNNNNNNNNNNNNNNNNNNNNNNNNNNNNNNNNNNNNNNNNNNNNNNNAAGGUCAUUUUGGUCUUUUAGCCUUGUCUAAAUGACACUCCAUUGCCACCCACCUCAUUAAGGGCAUUGGAGUCAUUUUAUCUUUAUUUUGUAAUAUACUAUAUAUAGUCUAUUUUAGGUCAUUUCUCUUUAGUUAAUGAAUGAUGAACAUUUGAAAGACUUAUUCCCUCUUUGGAGAGUGCAACACCUUAGUAUAGUUCUUAGUUAGGGCUUGGAAAAGUCAUCCUAUAGUAUAGGGCUUGGAAAAACCAAUAUUGUUCUUUGCUUGGAAACGGUGGAUCUUGUGGUAAGUGAUUCCCUUGGCGGUCACUGUAAGAGUGGUGUUGUUGUUACAUUAAUUAGAGGUUUAGUGUUUGAAUCACACUUUGUUCCUAAGUCUUGUAACAAAUCUAUAUCUCACUAUCUAUCCUUUUAGUUUUGUAAUCUUGUUAUUGUUUGUAGUGGACUGUUUUUGUGUCUUGUUGAAUCCGAAAUUUUGUGUUCUUGUUGUCAUCUUGUUCUUCACGAUUUGUGUCUGUUUUGGGUGUUAAAUGAACCUUUGUUUCUUGUAUUCUUGUUGUAUUUGUCGAAUCCGAGUGAGGUCUCCAUUUGGUCCACGAUUUGUGGUGAUUUGUGGACUGUUUUGGAGGGUGUAUUGGACUGUUUUGUGGCUGUUUCAUGUUCCUCUUUUUUGUCUUGUAUCAAAUCCAUCUUUGAUUUUGUUCUAACAAGAUCAAUUUUGGGCUUGAGACUUGAAAAACACACAAAAAAAAAACUGUAAACUAAAAUUUUCAGAAAAUAGCAAUCUGUCCACUUUGUGUUCUUGGCCGAAAAUUGUGUUCUUGUUGUGUCUUGGCUGAGAUUUUUACUUGCCUUAAAGUGUUUCUAGCCUUAGUAUUGUUCUUCACUAACACUUUGAGUCUAUAUCUUGAUUUGAGUCUUUGUUGUGGAUGUUGUUAUUGUGAACUUGGACUUGGCCGAUUGUUGUUGGUAUUGUUGUUGUGGAUUCAAGACUUGAACGUGUGAUGUAUUGUUGGUUCAAGUUUGAACGUGUAUUUUGGGGAUUGUUUUGGGGAUUUUAAGCUUGAAAAGGUGGUGUUGUUUGGAAGGUCCAACUUGCACGUUAGAACUUUGAGACUCAAAAUUUGUGUUCUUGAUGUUCUUAGUGUUCUUCACCAUCUCUAUAUUUUGUUGAAGAAAAAGUGGUUGUUGAUUCUAUAAGUUGAAGAAAGAGAGUGUGAAUUGAUUUUAGUCUUUCAAGACAUAAAUCCAAGAUUUAAGGUGUAAGACUUGUGGCUCAAAGACUUUUCCUUCACACUCAAAGACUUACAACCACUUCCAACAACCUUCCAUGUUUUGAGGAUCUUGUUUUAAGGAAAGUGUACAACAAAGUUCUCUUUUUGGAAUUGAAAGGGGAUUACAAGACUUAUAUUUCCCUCCUAAAACCAAAUCCACCAUUCCCAACUUACAAAUUGAUCAAGAAUUCCAAUUUUGGAAAAUAAAUUUGUUACGACCGCAACCAAUACGUGGCUGCCACAUCAUGUUUUACUGUUCACACGACAAAUUUUGGCUCAAAUUUUAGAUUCUUAGUUUCAUUUUACUGUCUCCUAGUUUCAUGACUUGAUUCUAGAAUUAAUUAACAACUAGUAAUCACCUGCUAAGUUGUAGAUUAAUUGUUGAAUCCAUUUCUUUCGUGUCUUUAUUGUUUGUGUAUUUUCUCGUUUCUAACUCGCCGUAACUUUUUUGUUUCAAGUUUGUAAGUAAAUUUUAUUUUGUGUCUUGAGUCGAUCCAACAAGAAUCUAUUCCGGUCGCCAAGUAGAAUUGACAUCUUAUUGACUACCGGAGUAUAAGCAACUUUCAAUAUUCGCCGCUUCAAUUGUAAGAAUCACAAAGGUUAGUAUAUACGAGUGUUGGUAAGGAAGCUUUACUACUAAUAUUAUUUGUUCAUUGUGUAGGUACAAAGGUGAUAUUAGGGGAACAUGUCUUCGAUAAUCGGGUAUUAUUAUGACUACGACAUGGGAGACUAUGAUUGUAGUAAAAGGUUUUAUGGCUACGAAGUUGAGGGAGAUUGUGGGGGCUAUGAAAAUAGCCAUGAUCAAAACUUGGGCAGAUUUGAGGGUCUCGGGUUUAGGGGAGAAAAUGACGGAAAUGAUGGCCUAGUACUUAUGGUGAAUUUGGAGAUGAUGUAGGACCUCGUGAUGGUUCUUACGAUGAAGUUGGGACAUGUGAGGAGUCUUAUACUUCCCACUCUGAACCUACAUUUGGUGUUGGUAUAACCCUUUCAUUCGCAAAGCUUAUGAGAGCUAUGAUGAGAGUACGCAUGUGGAGUGUGAAAGAUCAUAUUCUUCACCUUGUACUACUUUUUAUCAAGGUCGACAUGGUGUGAUUGGUUAUACUAGCUAUAGUAGAGGUUGUCCCAUGAGAAAAAGAGCGCAAGCAUCUCCAAAACCGAUGGGUACUCGUGUACCUUACAAUGUUGAUCCAAGGAGGAGUGUACACUCCGAAAAGGUGACUAUUUGUGGGAUACCGGGCUGCCUUAUGGUGUUGAAUGAUAGGUACUAUGAAAACUACAUUCUUCUGUCCAUGGUUGACUACUUAGGGUUAUUUCGAGAGUCUUUACUUGUUCCAUACUACUUAGGCGAGUUCAAGGUUACCGAGAGGGUAAAAGUUGUCUUCUCCCAAUUUGAUUACCAUAAGGAGGUGUGGUGCAAUGUUUUUUCCUUAACCUACGGUCAUAUGAGCUUGGGUGCCGAUUGGUUUGCACGACAUCAAAUUCCUAACGUGCAAUAUUGGCCUAAUAUUGUAAGAGACCAAUGGGGAAAUCUCCUCAUAAUGUACUUGCUACCCAAACCACAAAGAGAAAUGCUUACCUACUCCAAUCUAAUUUAUGAUGAGAGACAAAAGAUUGAGAGGAGUAAGGGAGUGCAAGGUGGUAAUUGGAGAGUGGAAAAAGGAAAGGAUAUGUAGAGCGAAAUGAGGGGAUUGCCACCAAACCGUACUAACAUUGACUGUCCUUCUAUUUCUAAGGACAUUUGUGUAGGUACCAACAUGGCAAGCGAAGGCGAACAAUGCCAAAAGGAAGUUGUUGCUCAAGCUUGUGGAGGACCUUCACCUCACGGAAAGGAAGAGUCUACUCAAGAUCUUAAAGGUAAAAUAGCUAACUCUUACACUUUAGUGUAUGUGAAUGACAAUUGUGUGGCUGGUAAGCCAUUGAGUGUGAGUAGUAGCUUACUUAUUUAUGAGUCUAAUUAUUCCUUGUAUCUUGUUGAUGAUGUACAUAUUGUAAGUUUGGAUACACUAGUUGAUCCUAUUGAUGACGAAAUUGACUCUUCUUGUAGGAUUAAUUUAUGUCCAUCUAGUGUUGAAGCUUAUAUGUUUAACGGAAGUAAAUCGUCUUGUGUAAUUGGUGUUGAUCAACUUGUUUGUGAAAAUUGUCCCCCACUUGAGUAUGUGUGUGAUGUGCUUAAUAGGACUCAAGUGAGUGAAGUAUUUGAAAAUGUUGGUCAACAAAGUGGGAGUGAACCCGAGAUCUCUUCUUGGGAUAAUCUUGUGUUUGGAACAUCAUUGAAACUUGUUAUUGAUCAUUUAGAGUGUGAGGAACUUGCUUAUUCCAAAUCUGUCCGUGAGGUAGAUCACAUUCUCCUUAGGUGUAAUGUCUUGUUUGAAGAUGAUUUAAACACUUCUAAUAAAGCUAGUGGUGAAAAUGAUGGUAUAGCUUGCCUUGGAAGCAAUAGCCUAUAUGCUAACCCACUUUGGUGUGACAACAUUCCUCCUAAAGAUGGAAAUCUCUUCUUGGAAGAUGAGAGUACUCUUAGGGGUAAGGAAUGUGUAGUUGCGGAAGCUACUUCUUCUUUUACUUUGUAUGACUUUAUUUUUUAGAGUAAUCAUGGUUAUUAUUGGGAAACUAGUAGGGAGUACACAUAUGAGGGUACCUUGGUAGAAGUCGAUUUGAGUGAUACCUUUCUUUACUCUCUAUUUGCUUUGGAUGAUAUGUAUGCUAUUAUAGAGAGUAUGUCGUUUAGUUUGGGAGUAGACCACAGAAAAGCGGAUUGCUUUCUAGACCCGUGUCUAUGGCCACUUUUCCCAUUUGACCCCGGUGCCAAAUGUAGAAAUGGUGAUGUUGGUGCACCCAACUUGUUGUUUGGUCUACAUGACAAGCAAAGUAUCACUCUUGGUGUAUCCCAUAACCAAAUCCUUUGUACAUCUUUCAUUGAGUUUUUAAUACUCACUUCAAAGGAUUCUUGAUUAUACUUCAAGUAUGUACCCCCUUGGCGUGAUGAUGUUUAUUAUUGUGCCAACCCUAACCCUCAUGCUAUGAGGAUGUUGUGCUUGUUUGUCCUUUCUCUUGUUUUGCAAGGUACGGAUUCCAGGUUGAAUCCUUUUCAAGAAGGGGAGGAUGAUACAAGUGAAAUGACCGCCUUAUCUUUCGAUGAUAUUAUUCAAAGUCACUACGUGAAGAAUCAAGUUUUGGUCCCAUGGAGGGCACGGGAUCAUACUUGUAGGGGCUAUUUUAAGCAUGCCAUCAAACAAACCCGUGUGUGGAAGAUUACUUGGAGCCUUGAAGACUAGAGGACUCACGGGUUUGGACCACAUUUGAUGGUUCANNNNNNNNNNNNNNNNNNNNNNNNNNNNNNNNNNNNNNNNNNNNNNNNNNNNNNNNNNNNNNNNNNNNNNNNNNNNNNNNNNNNNNNNNNNNNNNNNNNNNNNNNNNNNNNNNNNNNNNNNNNNNNNNNNNNNNNNNNNNNNNNNNNNNNNNNNNNNNNNNNNNNNNNNNNNNNNNNNNNNNNNNNNNNNNNNNNNNNNNNNNNNNNNNNNNNNNNNUAUCUCACUAUCUAUCCUUUUAUUCUUGUAAUCUUGUUAUUGUUUGUAGUGGACUGUUUUUGUGUCUUAUUGAAUCCGAAAAUUUGUAUUCUUGUUGUCAUCUUGUUAUUCACGAUUUUUGGCUGUUUUGGGUGUUAAAUACACCUUUGUUUCUUAUAUUCUUGUUGUAUUUGUCGAAUCUGAGUGAGGUCUCCAUUUGGUCCACAAUUUGUUGUGAUUUGUGGACUAUUUUGGAGGGUGUAUUGGACUGUUCUGUGGCUGUUUCAUGUUCCUCUUAUUUGUCUUGUAUCAAGAAUAGAUUUGGCUAUUCAAAAAGGAUUGUUUAUGUUCAAAGAAGAUAGAAUAUACCAAGUUAAAUACACUCACAUGCUUGGAAGGAAUCCUCUCAUAUGUAGUGAAACUUCCAUAUGAAGGUGAACCCAUUGAGAACUCAGAUGCAGCCAAGGAUUCUCUCCUGUUACUCUUUCUAGGUUUCUUCUCAAUGCUCUGAGCCUCAUCAUCCUCUGAUUUGGGAUAUUUCUUUCUAUGAGAUGAACUUAUUUGAAAGAUGCUCAUCUCAGACGGACGUCUCGCUCCUGCGACAUCGACCUCUGUUGGCCAAUUUUGAGAGUAAUGCUUCUUUUUGACAACAUGGUGUGUGGCAAAUUUCUUACUUGAGACUGUUACUGGAUGCAAAGUCUUAUCACUUCUUCUCUUCACGUAGAGAACUGUACCAGCAAGCAGACUCAGUACAAGUGAGGAAAUUCCUAGGAUCUAAUAUGCACCAACAUUAUCUCCAUCAUGUCUUAUUGGAGACUCCAUCAUUUCCAAAGGUUGGGCUUCUUCAACAGCAAAAAUUUCUUUCACUAUGCUUUCAGGAUUGUCAAUCAUCGACUCAAGUGCAUUAUCAGCAAUGAAAGAUUGGGAUUCAGCCAACUCAACCUCAACAUUAGAAGUUGUGAGCCCUUGGUCCAAAUCACUUUCUGAACUAUCAGAUUCAUUCCCCUCAGCUGGGACAACAGAAACUUUUUCAGUCUCCACCAAAUCAUGCUUUCCUUGUUCUACAUCCUUUUCUAAGCUAUCAGCCCCAUUUACCUCGGCUAAUUGAAUUGCGGAAGCUUCUUCAAUCUCCAACACAUCCACUCCUUCAAUUUCAACUUCCCCACCAUCAUCUAAAUCAGCAUCCAUUUGAAAUUCUUCCUCAUCUGGAUCGGUUUCAGAUUCUUCAUCCUCUUCUAACUCAAUUGGAUCAAACUUUUUAUCCAAUUUCUCACUACCAGUACUGCCUUUCAAAUAUCCGUGAUAUAUAUUGCUACUCUCUUCUAGAGCAGUCAAGUUCAUGAAUUUAAUCGGAUGCACAUCAUCUAUUCUACCAAGGUCAUUAAUCAACUUUGAGAAAUAAGAAACCACUUCUUAUUUGCAGAAAAGAACGUAGCUUUACCGUCGGAUAAGGUGAUUGAAGUCCUUACAGGAUCAUUU
Molecule: long non-coding RNA, 9541 nt
Filed under: Capsicum annuum
Lineage: Eukaryota; Viridiplantae; Streptophyta; Magnoliopsida; Solanales; Solanaceae
Description: long non-coding RNA (CANN_LNC003378)
Source: RNAcentral